Molecule: long non-coding RNA, 198 nt
Organism: Helianthus annuus (common sunflower)
Lineage: Eukaryota; Viridiplantae; Streptophyta; Magnoliopsida; Asterales; Asteraceae
Exons: 3
Source: RefSeq, a predicted model, not a curated record
GUGGAACCCUAAAUCUUGGAUAAAAUCGGACUCCGAUCAUUCGUGAAACAACAGAGAUAUGCAUCCCUUGCACAACAGUCCUUCAUUUUUAAAGCUUAUUGAUGAAGAUGACCCGAUAUUUUUGGUGAAGAGCUUCUUUCAGACUCCUUCCCCUACAAGGAACUUUUGAAUGGGUUCCUAUGAGAAGUUGAAGAAAAG